Molecule: ribosomal RNA, 405 nt
Filed under: uncultured bacterium
Lineage: Bacteria
Description: bacterial SSU rRNA
Rfam family: Bacterial small subunit ribosomal RNA
Source: RNAcentral
GGGGAAUAUUGCACAAUGGGCGCAAGCCUGAUGCAGCAACGCCGCGUGAGGGAUGACGGCCUUCGGGUUGUAAACCUCUUUUAGUAGGGAAGAAGCGCAAGUGACGGUACCUGCAGAAAAAGCACCGGCUAACUACGUGCCAGCAGCCGCGGUAAUACGUAGGGUGCAAGCGUUGUCCGGAAUUAUUGGGCGUAAAGAGCUCGUAGGCGGCUUGUCGCGUCUGCUGUGAAAACCCGAGGCUCAACCUCGGGCUUGCAGUGGGUACGGGCAGGCUAGAGUGCGGUAGGGGAGAUUGGAAUUCCUGGUGUAGCGGUGGAAUGCGCAGAUAUCAGGAGGAACACCGAUGGCGAAGGCAGAUCUCUGGGCCGUAACUGACGCUGAGGAGCGAAAGCAUGGGGAGCGAAC